GUCCUCGUAGCUUAAAAGGAUAGAGCACGCGCGUCCUAAGCGCAUGAUGGCAGUUCGAUUCUGCCCGAGGACA
Molecule: transfer RNA, 73 nt
Filed under: Candidatus Roizmanbacteria bacterium RIFCSPHIGHO2_01_FULL_38_15
Lineage: Bacteria; Candidatus Roizmaniibacteriota
Also listed under: 2 other names
Description: tRNA-Arg
Rfam family: tRNA
About the family: Transfer RNA (tRNA) molecules are approximately 80 nucleotides in length.
Source: RNAcentral